RNAcentral lists this long non-coding RNA (203 nucleotides) under Gossypium barbadense (sea-island cotton). RNAcentral describes it as "long non-coding RNA (GBAR_LNC011745)". Lineage: Eukaryota; Viridiplantae; Streptophyta; Magnoliopsida; Malvales; Malvaceae. The record is from RNAcentral.
CGUCAUCCGAAUGACGUUCUGAUAUAGCUCAAACUCCUAGAACAGUUUGUUCCCCAUCCGAUUAGCUAUCAUCCAUCUGAAUGGCGUUUUGGUGACUCAACUAUUAAGACAGUUUACCUCUCAUCCAGAUGCUCUGCAACCGUUAAUCAAAACAUAAUCAUUUAUAAACUAGUAAGUUCCAAAUCAAGCCUAAUCAAAACCAA